RNAcentral lists this microRNA precursor (101 nucleotides) under Lottia gigantea (owl limpet). RNAcentral describes it as "microRNA lgi-mir-31 precursor". Its record names the gene lgi-mir-31. The stretch from base 10 to 92 matches the Rfam family "mir-31 microRNA precursor family". Lineage: Eukaryota; Metazoa; Mollusca; Gastropoda; Lottiidae. The record is from miRBase by way of RNAcentral.
AUAAUGUUUGAGUCCAGACUAGGCAAGAUGUUGGCAUAGCUGAGUCAUAUAUGAACCAUCAGCUGUGUCUCAUAUUGCUAUCUUUGGGCUUGUUGUUGCAU